AGGGGUAUAGCUCCAACUGGCAGAGCAGCGGAUUCCAAAUCCGCGUGUUGGGGGUUCGAAUCCCUCUACCCCUGCCA
This 77-nucleotide transfer RNA is filed under the name Salinivibrio costicola. RNAcentral's name for it is "tRNA-Trp". It matches the Rfam family "tRNA". Rfam says of the family: Transfer RNA (tRNA) molecules are approximately 80 nucleotides in length. Their secondary structure includes four short double-helical elements and three loops (D, anti-codon, and T loops). The record is from RNAcentral. RNAcentral also lists the same sequence under 10 other names. Lineage: Bacteria; Pseudomonadati; Pseudomonadota; Gammaproteobacteria; Vibrionales; Vibrionaceae.